This 77-nucleotide transfer RNA is filed under the name Cedecea neteri. Its description in RNAcentral is "tRNA-Ala(tgc)". It matches the Rfam family "tRNA". From Rfam's summary of the family: Transfer RNA (tRNA) molecules are approximately 80 nucleotides in length. Their secondary structure includes four short double-helical elements and three loops (D, anti-codon, and T loops). The record is from RNAcentral. Lineage: Bacteria; Pseudomonadati; Pseudomonadota; Gammaproteobacteria; Enterobacterales; Enterobacteriaceae.
GGGGCUAUAGCUCAGCUGGGAGAGCGCCCUGCCUUGCACGCAGGAGGUCAGCGGUUCGAUCCCGCUUAGCUCCACCA